GCGACCCCAGGUCAGGCGGGAUCACCCGCUGAGUUUAAGCAUAUCAAUAAGCGGAGGAGAAGAAACUUACAAGGAUUCCCCUAGUAACGGCGAGCGAACCGG
Molecule: ribosomal RNA, 102 nt
Filed under: Streptocarpus porphyrostachys
Lineage: Eukaryota; Viridiplantae; Streptophyta; Magnoliopsida; Lamiales; Gesneriaceae
Description: partial 28S ribosomal RNA
Rfam family: Eukaryotic large subunit ribosomal RNA
Source: RNAcentral